RNAcentral lists this ribosomal RNA (482 nucleotides) under uncultured bacterium. Its description in RNAcentral is "partial 16S ribosomal RNA". It matches the Rfam family "Bacterial small subunit ribosomal RNA", at positions 36 to 507 of the family's 1533-position model. The record is from RNAcentral.
CUUUCCCUCUGGCGUCAUGCUUUACACAUGCAAGUCGAACGGUAACAGGCCGCAAGGUGCUGACGAGUGGCGAACGGGUGAGUAAUGCAUCGGAACGUGCCCAGUCGUGGGGGAUAACUACUCGAAAGAGUAGCUAAUACCGCAUACGAUCUAUGGAUGAAAGCGGGGGACCGUAAGGCCUCGCGCGAUUGGAGCGGCCGAUGUCAGAUUAGGUAGUUGGUGGGGUAAAGGCUCACCAAGCCAACGAUCUGUAGCUGGUCUGAGAGGACGACCAGCCACACUGGGACUGAGACACGGCCCAGACUCCUACGGGAGGCAGCAGUGGGGAAUUUUGGACAAUGGGCGCAAGCCUGAUCCAGCAAUGCCGCGUGCAGGAAGAAGGCCUUCGGGUUGUAAACUGCUUUUGUACGGAACGAAACGGCUCUGGUUAAUACCCGGGGCUAAUGACGGUACCGUAAGAAUAAGCACCGGCUAACUACGUG